GGCACUGCCUAGGUGGGCCGGGCGGUGCGAGGGUCGCCUUUCAGCCUUUACCUCUACCCACUGAAAUGGAGUAGGUCGGUGAGCGCCGAUCUGCUGGAGAAUCUCAUUAUCCCAUCGGCGCUCUGCCUGCUCCUGGCCUCCAAGCCUCUGAAGCCCCUCGGGUUUCAGCUGCCGGCUACCCUCGAGCCCGUGGUGCCCACGAGAGAGGCGACUUUACGUCAGCGGCCCUGGGCUGAGAUUUGAGAACGCGACCAAGUGGAGAAUGUUGGAGCCAGAUUUUAAAAUCCUUGUCUUCCUUCUGCGUGCUACUUGAUCUAAAUGAGAUACGGCAAAGUCACAGAACCUGUUUUUAUGUUUUUGCCUGAUUCAUACGGGCUUCUCCGGUGAAGAUGGGCCUGAAGUAACGCUUGGGUUGCUUCUGACGUUAUAACUCAUCCUGUAGCUGCAGCAACCGUGGUCCUUGCAACCUCAUAAAAAUGUUGCCAGCAUUGUUUCGAUAGUGCUGCUUAAUUCUUGGAAGGCCUCUUUGCUUUCUUCCCUGAGGUUCUUCGGACUUCACACAUUCCAGCAGUAGCUCUCUCAGCUCCUGUCCUGCACAGCUUUGAAGUGCUGGACACAGCCCUGGUGAUGGCUUUCUGAGGAUGACACGAUGGAGGCUUCUCCAAUAGCUCUAAAACUGCGGUGUGGAAAACAUUCGGCAGCCUCAAAGAGCGGUCUUGUUGACCCCAACUAUAUCAUUUUUCAUCAAAAUCAUUCUUGUAAAGAAUGACCAGGCAACACUCUUUGAAAAUUGGAGGCCAUUUGCAGCUGCUCUCUGUUGAGGAAAGUGAAUAAUAGGGUGCCCUCAAGGAAUUGCAAAGGUAUCACUCAACAGAAACUUUCGUGUCUGAAGAAAACUAGAUCAUUUUAUCAUGGGACACGCUGCGGAUGGCUUGAGAUUAGUAUCUGCGCAGGUGCCAUUCUCACAGUGUGUGCUGUGAGAAUGUCGCAGACGUGUGCUGCUACUCUGGCACUCACACUUGUCCAGGCUGUUUCUUAGUCCUAAGUUAGUGGCAUGAAAGCACUGCCCUGGAAGCGAUGGAGCAGCAAGUGCUCUACCCACAUGGAAGUCUUUGGGACCUGCACUUCAAUGAGCGCAGAGAGGAAAAGGAGAGAAGAACCAACACAACUGAAGCACCUACGAGCGUCAGGCACUGGCCCAGCUGCCAUGGACCCCCGAGUUGAAGGUCGUAUAACCUCAGCCUGCCCAAAUGAACCAAGCACACAACCACAGGGGGAACCCAAGAGUUCCAGUGGGAGAGCUGGAAGAGGAGGGACCAAUGUGAGAAGUGGACACCAUAUGGCAGGAUCCAGGAUCCAAUCAGACUGAGCCCUGGGGUCACCCCAUGGAAGGAUCCAGUUGGAUCAUGCCUCCUGGCAUCACCUACUGCAAGAUCCAAUCAGAUCACACCUCCUUACCCUAUGCUUAUAAAACCCCACCCAGCCCCCAGCCCGAAGAUACAGAUUUGAGUAUUUCCUCCUGUUUCCUUACCAGUCGAUUUGCAAUAAAGCUUUUUUUUUUUUCCUAAA
Homo sapiens (human) is the source of this 1569-nucleotide long non-coding RNA. Ensembl annotates it as hepatocellular carcinoma up-regulated long non-coding RNA. Its record names the gene HULC. The record is from Ensembl. NCBI's taxonomy places the organism in Eukaryota, Metazoa, Chordata, Mammalia, Primates, Hominidae.